CACUCCUGCGGGAGGCAGCAGUGGGGAAUUUUGGACAAUGGGCGAAAGCCUGAUCCAGCAAUGCCGCGUGUGUGAAGAAGGCCUUCGGGUUGUAAAGCACUUUUGUCCGGAAAGAAAUCCUUGGCUCUAAUACAGUCGGGGGAUGACGGUACCGGAAGAAUAAGCACCGGCUAACUACGUGCCAGCAGCCGCGGUAAUACGUAGGGUGCGAGCGUUAAUCGGAAUUACUGGGCGUAAAGCGUGCGCAGGCGGUUUGCUAAGACCGAUGUGAAAUCCCCGGGCUCAACCUGGGAACUGCAUUGGUGACUGGCAGGCUAGAGUAUGGCAGAGGGGGGUAGAAUUCCACGUGUAGCAGUGAAAUGCGUAGAGAUGUGGAGGAAUACCGAUGGCGAAGGCAGCCCCCUGGGCCAAUACUGACGCUCAUGCACGAAAGCGUGGGGAGCAAACAGGAUUAGAAACCCUUGUAGUCCC
Molecule: ribosomal RNA, 471 nt
Filed under: uncultured organism
Description: partial 16S ribosomal RNA
Rfam family: Bacterial small subunit ribosomal RNA
Source: RNAcentral